This 1348-nucleotide long non-coding RNA is filed under the name Marmota monax (woodchuck). The record is from RNAcentral. Lineage: Eukaryota; Metazoa; Chordata; Mammalia; Rodentia; Sciuridae.
UAUUUUAUUUAGUAUACUUUUUAAAAAUACCUUUAUUUUUAUUUUUAUGUGGUGCUGAAGAUUGAACCCAGCGCCUUGUACAUGCUAGGCGAGUGCUCUACCCCUGAGCCACAACCUCAGCCCCUCAUUUAAUAUACUUUUUAAAAAACAUUUUUUUAGUUGUAGAUGGACACAUUAUCUUUAUUUUUAAUUUUUAUAUGGUGCUAAGGAUAGAACCCAGUGCCUCACAUGUACUAGGUGAGCCUUCUACCACUGAGCCACAACCCCAGUCAUCCUUUAAUAUGCUUUUAAUUGAGAUGAUGGAUCUGACACGAAGCACUAUUUUACAGAGCAAGUGGAUGGAACAGAGUCAGACCGUGAGCUCCAGGCCAUUUGGCCAGUUAGUGAUGGUACUAGGGCUGGACCUUGGCUCUCCCUAGUCCAGUAUGUUUUGUUGGAGCAGAGGAGGCUCAGCAGGCUAGGGAGAUGGGUUUCCUCUGUGGGGCAAUUUGGUUGGCUGGAAGCAACAUCAGAAAAGCCACUGGUCACACAAGGGGGCAUGGCACCAGACACCAGCCUCUCCCCGUGCCAGCUGCCCUUUCAGCCCAACCUGCAGGAGUUACCUAAUACUGGGAAAAAAGGGAAGGAUUGAGGGCUAUGACUGCCUCUUUGUUCCUUAGAGGGCAGAUACAAAGGCAAAGGAGAACAAGAGUGAAGUCCCUGUGGGGUGCCACCUUUCUGCCUUCCAAGGGCAUGAGAUGUGCUACGGUUGCCUCUGCAUGGCAGGCCAGGGAAUGUUCCUGUUCUUAAUAAUCCCAGGAGAAGCAGAUCGAAGAUCCUCUCCUUAUUUGAGUUUUCUGCUGCGUUUAUUUGAAUGAUCACAAUUUGUUUUUCCUGAAGGAAUAAUUACUGUUUCCCUUCUCCUUGCAAGGGAAUAAACUAGUUGUCAAGUUUUUCUGGAAUGGUCUUAUUUUAGGCUUUUUCUUGUCUUAUUUUGGCCUGGCUUGCGAUGUAGGUUUAAGGGGACUAAAGUCCUAUGGUGGAAAUUCUGUGAUUUUUUAUUUGUUUGUUUAAGCUGAUAGUGACGUGGGGGGCCAUCUAGCUCAGUUGUCUUAUUGAGUACAUAUGGAAUCUGGGAUCUCGGACAGUGGGGUGAUUUGCCAAGAUUAUCCAGUUAUUCCAGACCAACGAUCAGAAUCUUUUUUUUUUUCUUUUUUCUUUUUUUUAUUGUUGGUUGUUCAAAACAUUACAUAGUUCUUGAUAUAUCAUCUUUCACACUUUGCUUCAAGUGGGUUAUGAACUCCCAUUUUUAGCCCAUAUACAGAUUGCAGAAUCACAUCAAUUACACAUCCAUUGAUUUACAUAUUGC